Long non-coding RNA from Myxocyprinus asiaticus (Chinese sucker), 1486 nucleotides. RefSeq lists it as uncharacterized. Lineage: Eukaryota; Metazoa; Chordata; Actinopteri; Cypriniformes; Catostomidae. The transcript has 5 exons. The record is from RefSeq and is a predicted model, not a curated record.
CUUUUUGGAGUUUUAAAGGUCUGGGCACCAUUCAGUUGCAUUGGUGCCCACCAACAGAGCUGAGAUAUUCUUCUAGAACUCUUUGUUUGUGUUCAGCAGAAGAAAGAAUGUCAUACACAUCUGGGAUGGCAUGAGGAUGGCAUAUUAAUUUAACAUGGGUUUAAGCAAAGACCUUCAUCUAACUCAGAGCACUUCUGAAGUUCUGUCCAUCAACAGAGCCAUGAGAAGUGGAAGUCAAAGGGGACAUUUGACUUCAAAACAAAGAUAUGAACAAUGUCAUAAAAGUGGCUCUACAGUGCAGUAUUACUAGUUUGACCAUAUUCAUGCAGAUAAAACACAACAGUCCUAUUCAUGGAUCAGCACAUCCACCCUCAACCUAAUCUUUCAUAUGGAUUCCAGACCCCUCAGUGCAGAGAGUAAAGAGAUUUGGCAUCAAACUAAUGACAUGGAGAUGGCUGAAAUAGUUUGAGUCAUAUCUCACUGGCAGAUUGUUCAAGGUCUCCUAGAGAGGAGAGGUGUCCAAGACACACCAGCUGACCACUGGGCUUCGUCAAGGAUCAGUGCUUGGACCACUCACUUGAUGUACAUAACAUCACUGGGACCGGUCAUUGAGGCACAUGGCUUUUCUACCACUGCUAUGCAGAUGAUACGCUGCUCUACCUGUCAUUCCAGCCUGAUGACCCUACUGUCUCAGCUCGUAUCUCUACCUGCCUCUCUGACAUUUUGGCCUGGAUGAAGGAACAACACUUUCAGCUCAAACUUGCUAAGACAGAACUCCUCGUGAUCCCAGCCAACCCAUCUGUUGACCACAACCUCAUUUUCAUCUUGGUUCAACUACACUAACACCAACCAGAACAGCCUGGAACCUGAGAGUGGUGGUAGAUGACCAGCUUAAUUUCACUGCACACAUCUCAUCAACAGCCCGGUCUUGCAGAUUCGCACUUUACAACAUCAGGAAAAUCAGACCUUUCCUGUCUGAAUAUGGAACACAACUCCUGGUCCAAGCUCUGGUUAUUUCAAAACUGGACUACUGAAAUGCUCUGUUGGCUGGCCUUCCAGCUAACACAAUUAAGCCACUGCAGAUGGUCCAGAAUGCAGCAGCACGUCUGGUCUUCAAUCAGCCAUAAAGGGCUCAUGUCACCCCACGCUUGAUUUCACUCCACUGAUUACCUGUAGCUGCCCGCAUCAAAUUCAAGGCUUUGACUCUGGCUUUGUGGACAGCCAAUGGAACCGCACACUUUUACUUCAAUUCACUUUUUCAGGUCUAUGCUCCAACUUGCUCUCUGCAGUCUAUGAACGAGUGAUGCCUGGUGGUCCCAUCACAAAGAGGCUCAAAGUCUAUUUCACGAUCAUUCACUUUCUCUGCUUUUCUGUGGUGGAAUGAACUUCCAGCCUCCACACGAUCUGCUGUUACCUUCUCAACAUUCAAGAACCAGCUUAAAACACAACUGUUCCACGAGUACUUAACCAACCCACCCUAAUUGCA